This 631-nucleotide ribosomal RNA is filed under the name uncultured bacterium. Its description in RNAcentral is "bacterial SSU rRNA". It matches the Rfam family "Bacterial small subunit ribosomal RNA", at positions 232 to 873 of the family's 1533-position model. The record is from RNAcentral.
CGCGGCCUAUCAGCUUGUUGGUGGGGUGAUGGCCUACCAAGGCGACGACGGGUAGCCGGCCUGAGAGGGCGACCGGCCACACUGGGACUGAGACACGGCCCAGACUCCUACGGGAGGCAGCAGUGGGGAAUCUUGCGCAAUGGGCGAAAGCCUGACGCAGCGACGCCGCGUGAGGGAUGACGGCCUUCGGGUUGUAAACCUCUUUCAGCCCUGACGAAGCGAAAGUGACGGUAGGGGCAGAAGAAGCACCGGCCAACUACGUGCCAGCAGCCGCGGUAAUACGUAGGGUGCAAGCGUUGUCCGGAAUUAUUGGGCGUAAAGAGCUCAUAGGUGGCCUGUCGCGUCGGCUGUGAAAACUCGGGGCUCAACUCCGAGCUUGCAGUCGAUACGGGCAGGCUAGAGUGCGGCAGGGGAGACUGGAAUUCCUGGUGUAGCGGUGAAAUGCGCAGAUAUCAGGAGGAACACCGGUGGCGAAGGCGGGUCUCUGGGCCGAUACUGACACUGAGGAGCGAAAGCGUGGGGAGCGAACAGGAUUAGAUACCCUGGUAGUCCACGCCGUAAACGUUGGGCGCUAGGUGUGGGAUCCCUUCCACGGGUUCCGUGCCUCAGCUAACGCAUUAAGCGCCCCGCC